Molecule: ribosomal RNA, 293 nt
Filed under: uncultured bacterium
Lineage: Bacteria
Description: partial 16S ribosomal RNA
Rfam family: Bacterial small subunit ribosomal RNA
Source: RNAcentral
GGAUUAGAUACCCUGGUAGUCCACGCAGUAAACGAUGUGUGCUAGUUGUCGGGAUUUUAUUUCGGUGACGGAGCGAAAGUUUUAAGCACACCGCCUGGGGAGUACGGCCGCAAGGUUAAAACUCAAAGGAAUUGACGGGGACCCGCACAAGCGGUGGAGCAUGUUCUUUAAUUCGAAGCAACGCGAAGAACCUUACCUACACUUGACAUACUCGUCGGGACUUUCAGAGAUGAUUGUCUUCGGUUCGGCCGGACGAUGUACAGGUGCUGCAUGGCUGUCGUCAGCUCGUGCCG